AUUUGUCCUACGGAUGUACAUACUACCUCUAUAACACACAUAAAACUUACUCCUUAGAACUCAGAUUCUCUGCCCAUCUGCCCGUUACGAGCUCGGAGGCUUCACUAGCCUCUUGCCACUAUUUAAGUGUGCUAGUGUAUCAUAUCUAUCUCGUAUGGAGUGGACUGGAUAGACUUCCUCGAUUGAAAUUGUAAGUGUCCAAUCUUGGAUGACGGCUCUGUCUACCGGUUCGGUGCUACGGCAGCUCGACGAUGUUAGCGACAUUACUACACCCUAACGGGUUUGUAUUUAUCCACGGUGGUAGCGUACGAGCUCCACACUCGAUACCUGAUAAGUUUUAUACUAUUCUACGUAUCGGUAGGCGCCCCUCGGGGAUGAAGCCUGCUAUAUUACAACUCCAUGUGGUGGAUCACUCGGCUCACGCAUCGAUGAAGAGUGCAGCAAACUGUGUUAACCAAUGUGAAACGCAGACUGCUUCGAUCAUCGGUCUCUCGAACGCAAAUGGCGGCUUUGGGCUUGCCCUUAGCCACGUUUGAUCGAGUGUCGGCUUUUACCUAUCGUGAAACUUAAUUAUUCACGGAUUGGGAAGUUUACCAUGGCUACGUGUUUAAACUGUUCCAGUAGCGGGCAUGCUCAGAGUAUUACACGACUUUCCGGUUUGCUCUGAGUGAUAGAAUUUCAAUAGUAUUACACGGCUAUACGGUUUGCUAUUGAUUGACUGUCGUAUGUCAAAUGCGCUGGACCUAAGAGUAUUACACGACUUUCCGGUUUGCUCUUCGGUUAUACAGACACCCGUCUCAUACACGACUAUACGGUUUGAGAUGGGUUGUAUAGCUCUAGUGGUUCUUCCUUAAUAACAUGAGCAGUACUGUUGUGUACGUUAAUGAUUUGCUCUGCACAGGGUGUGUGGCUUAGUGUAAACUUUGUAACGCUGUACUGUUGUAGUUCAAGUUGUGCAUGACAUGUUCAUUUUAUAAUAGUCCUGACCUCGAUUCAAGCGUGAUUACCCGCUGAACUUAAGCAUAUCACUAAGCGGA
RNAcentral lists this ribosomal RNA (1037 nucleotides) under Gyrodactylus pleuronecti. RNAcentral's name for it is "eukaryotic LSU rRNA". The stretch from base 394 to 546 matches the Rfam family "5.8S ribosomal RNA". The record is from RNAcentral. Lineage: Eukaryota; Metazoa; Platyhelminthes; Monogenea; Gyrodactylidea; Gyrodactylidae.